CAAAGCUUUUCUAAGUGUUGAACUCUCUCACAAAUCACCUCUACCUCACUUUCACUCAGACGCCCACUCUUACCUCUACCUCCACCUCACUACUGCAAUCUCAAUCUCUCCGACGAUUGAAGACCGGUGAAGUACCAUGGCUCUCUGGCAUGAAGACCAAGUAAUUCUCCAAGUGUCUACAGCGAAGUGUUUGGAUAGGUGGGAGUAUAUUGGCGUCACUUGGUUCCUUUCAGCAAAUGUGGUUUUCAAAAUCUGAGUUUGAGGAACAUGGAGCUUCUAAUGUUCAAAGAAAAUGCCCGUAAAGUACUUUACUGGUGCGGACAAUUAUCACAUUAGACAGAAAUUCAUGGAUUUGACUUCACUUUGAUUAGUUCACUGACAGUAUGGGUUGCUCGGUUUUAAUAUCCUGCUUUAUAGGCGCCCAAACAAUGUACUAUAUAUAUAUAUAUAUAUAUAUAUACUGUACCUCUCGCGGAUCGUUGCUAAUGUUGUACAAUUAUGUUACCUGACUUUUAGUUCAGCAAAUUAUACUUGU
Molecule: long non-coding RNA, 535 nt
Organism: Coffea eugenioides
Lineage: Eukaryota; Viridiplantae; Streptophyta; Magnoliopsida; Gentianales; Rubiaceae
Exons: 3
Source: RefSeq, a predicted model, not a curated record